This 405-nucleotide ribosomal RNA is filed under the name uncultured bacterium. Its description in RNAcentral is "bacterial SSU rRNA". It matches the Rfam family "Bacterial small subunit ribosomal RNA", at positions 355 to 776 of the family's 1533-position model. The record is from RNAcentral.
UGGGGAAUAUUGCGCAAUGGGCGGAAGCCUGACGCAGCGACGCCGCGUGGGGGAUGACGGCCUUCGGGUUGUAAACCUCUUUCAGCAGGGACGAAGUUGACGUGUACCUGCAGAAGAAGCGCCGGCUAACUACGUGCCAGCAGCCGCGGUAAUACGUAGGGCGCAAGCGUUGUCCGGAAUUAUUGGGCGUAAAGAGCUCGUAGGUGGCUGGUCGCGUCUGCCGUGAAAGCCCGCAGCUUAACUGCGGGUCUGCGGUGGAUACGGGCCGGCUAGAGGUAGGCAGGGGCAAGUGGAAUUCCUGGUGUAGCGGUGAAAUGCGCAGAUAUCAGGAGGAACACCGGUGGCGAAGGCGGCUUGCUGGGCCUUACCUGACGCUGAGGAGCGAAAGCGUGGGGAGCGAACAGG